RNAcentral lists this ribosomal RNA (415 nucleotides) under uncultured bacterium. Its description in RNAcentral is "bacterial SSU rRNA". It matches the Rfam family "Bacterial small subunit ribosomal RNA", at positions 355 to 767 of the family's 1533-position model. The record is from RNAcentral.
UAAGGAAUAUUGGUCAAUGGGCGCAAGCCUGAACCAGCCAUGCCGCGUGCAGGAAGACGGCCCUAUGGGUUGUAAACAGCUUUUGUCAGGGAAUAAACCCCCGCUCGUGAGCGGGGCUGAAGGUACCUGAAGAAUAAGCAUCGGCUAACUCCGUGCCAGCAGCCGCGGUAAUACGGAGGAUGCAAGCGUUAUCCGGAUUCAUUGGGUUUAAAGGGUGCGCAGGCGGAUUGGUAAGUCAGGGGUGAAAUCCCACAGCUCAACUGUGGAACUGCCUUUGAUACUGUCAGUCUAGAGUAUAGUUGAAGUUGGCGGAAUGUGUCAUGUAGCGGUGAAAUGCUUAGAUAUGACACAGAACACCGAUCGCGAAGGCAGCUAGCUAAGCUAUAACUGACGCUCAUGCACGAAAGCGUGGGGA